Molecule: non-coding RNA, 591 nt
Submitted as: unclassified sequences
Source: Rfam
UUCGGUCUUUUUAAACAUGAUUAACUCAGUGAAGAUGGAUUUUUCAGUCCUGCUGAGAUGCAUUGGUGAUGAGAUAGGUUGGUUCUGGAUACUGGAUCAACUGAUUCUUUCCGGUAGAAGCGAUUCUGCUGGAGAAGAUGGGAACCAUCAACAACGCCGUGCAGUGUAUCAUCAUAGAGAAAUCAAAUGCAGAAUCCUUGUGGUCAGCGUAGAAUAGACGCUUGCGGUGCAAGAAUAAUCCGGUGAUGUGAGUAGCGUGAGAGACUACGGACUAACUGGAAAUUCUCAAUAAGCUGAUUUGCCUUGAAUCUGAGAAAUCGGAGUAUAACACAAGAAAUUCGUUAAAGUAGCGGUAUGGCAGUUUUAAAAAGCAAUCUUUCGAUACGAGCAUAUGAGAAUAAGGAAAUGCAAAUAGGCGAAAGCAUAAUCUGAAAGAACCGUGAAAUUUACGGGUAUCAAUCCCGUGUGUGCUUUGAUAGCGGUAAGAAGCCAAGGGUCGCUCCUGGACGCUCAGACUUAUCGUCACACUGGCUGAAUAUGAUUUCUACCAUGAUGAAUAAAGGGAAGCCUUAAUCAUGUUUAAAACAAUAC